UUACGUUUUAAAAUUUCAAAUGAUAUGUUGCAUUGUACGUUGUACGCUCUGCUAGGUAGAUAACUUAUGGAUGUGGCGUUAAUUUCGUGCGCGUAAGUGGCGCUAAUUUUGUAAGAGCUAGUAACAUAUAAUUAGGGCGGCAGUCAGCGCGUGUCCUGCGAAGCGCCUAAUGGCCGGCAUCGCCGCAGGCGCAACGUGCCUCACAGUUUAAAUUGAACGUCAAGCUAUCGAUUUGCAUAAAUCACACCGUUACCAUUUUCAAUUAUUUGACUGGUUAUAUUGAACUAAAAUGAUCAAAAUAAAACGUGUCGCAGUGCAUCAAAUCUUUGUGCAACAUUACAAAUGGUCUGUUAAUUUUAUUCCCUUGCACUAAUCAAGAUGUUGUGCUA
This is a long non-coding RNA of Amyelois transitella, 389 nucleotides long. RefSeq lists it as uncharacterized. NCBI's taxonomy places the organism in Eukaryota, Metazoa, Arthropoda, Insecta, Lepidoptera, Pyralidae. The record is from RefSeq and is a predicted model, not a curated record. The transcript has 3 exons.